Long non-coding RNA from Bradysia coprophila, 525 nucleotides. The record is from RefSeq and is a predicted model, not a curated record. Lineage: Eukaryota; Metazoa; Arthropoda; Insecta; Diptera; Sciaridae.
UUUAAUGUCUGUGCCUUUGACUAAUAACCUUGCAGACAAAUUUUAAUUAUCAAAUUAAACGGUUCUGAAAAGGUCUGAUUGGCUAUGUUACUGGUAUUGUUGAUUCUAAUAGCAACUAGCGUAGUAUACGGUCAAACGGAGUGUCCAAAUUUUUCAACUUAUACAAGCCUCAAUGGUUUGCAGGAGAAUCUAAAUGGAACUUUCUUAAUUGUAUACACUUCCGGAGCCGUUAUCAAAUGUGAGAGAAUCAAAUAUACAAUCGACGUCAACAGUAUUACAACUGGCUAUGUCGAAUCACCCAAUUGUUGCUUGAAGCUUGAUGGUUUCGACUUUCGUUCGACUGAACUCAGCUAUUCCAUCGGUCCUGCACCUGGUUAUAGUACAACCGGUUGUGCUAUACCUUUAUCUGGUACGUUGAAUGGAUCCAUGAAAUUAUUGGCUUCAAUAGGAAAUGGUAGCUCGCAAUGCUUGAUAACUGUCGUAUGUCAUUCGGGUGGCUAUACUGCGUUUUAUAUUCUGUGCCGU